CACUGGCUUAUAGUAGGUCAAGACUGUCUGAAACAAGCCCCUGAAGGCUUCGUAGGUUUUUGUUAAUCUACUUUAAUUAUUCACGCGAAUAAGCGUAUGAUCCAAAAUGUCAAACUUUGAGUCUAAAGGCCUUAAAAGUCAAAAUGUUGACUAAGUGUGUCAUUUGUUUUACUUGAAAAGUUAUAUUUUUGACUCACUAUGGUUUGUACUUUUCCUGGGCUUAAAAUACAGGUUACAUUUUUAUUUUUAUAUUUUAAGACAAUAUUCACAUGCAUGUAUAUUGAAGCCGUUCUUGGUCUCUGUAUUUGUUCCUCUUUUGCAUACUGACUGUGAAGAGAUGCUUUAAUGGAGGACAAAAGCCACUGUCCUUGUUCCAAGCAAAGGCUCUCUAAAGUUCAGCCCGACGCUAAAAUGUGGUUUCAGCAGUCCCAGCUGGGCAAAUCAAAUUCGGGGGAAAAGACCCGGGCAUGGCUUCAGCUGGAGACACAUGCAGCUGAACGUGUUCAUACGGUCUCUCACAGAAGUGGUGGUUUUCGAUGUUGUGCUACGGCCCUGCGGGUUCAGGGCCCAACAGGACUCCGGGCUUGAGCUGCCAGUACGCCUGUCGGGUGGCGGAAUCGCUUCAGAAAGCCCCUCCCCUCACACCUUUCCGACGUUGGAGGCUGUGACCGAUCAUUUCUGUAACUUUCCCGACGUCACAGCUGCGGAGAGGAACGGAGGCGGGGUCUGAGCUUCUCUCUCAGCUCUCCUUUUUCACUCAUUACGCAACCCUGUGAAGGUCUUCCAGGGGAGACCGUUAUGUUUGCGUCUCACCUCUGAUGUCUGGCUUUGCAUGUGGCCAUUCAGAAUAACUGUAAGCACUUUUGCCUUCACGGCCUGCCUUUAAGGGCCCCUGUGUUAUAACCUAGUUUAAAGGCAUUCUUAGUUUCAGUUUUGUGCUUACAUGGUGCAUAUUCCUGAAUUAAUGUGUUUAAUUAAACUACCACAAAGCAAAUCUGUAGAUAGAUAUUACUCCAGCGUGCCCAGAGAGUGGGAGCAAUGGGGGUUAAUAGCAGCCAGUGGCCCCCCAGCAAGUUAAUCCCACCAUGGUUUGGUUUGUGGUUUCCCAAAAUCACCAUAAACAUCUAGUAAUUUAUCAGCACAGACUGACCAUAAAAUAAAAAGCACCUUCCCAGUGGUUGCUUGAAGGAAUGCAAGAGACUUUAUUUAUUGAUUUAUUUACUUUGGAUUGUAAAAACUUGCAAACGUUUCUUGGAUCUCUUUCAAAGUGGCUGCAGAUUAACAGACACAGCGUUUCCCCGCUGGCUGUUUGUCCUGUUUAAUUUGCAGUGAUUACUUCACAUCGUGGACGAAUCGGAAGCUUUAACCCUGAAAAAUCUUUUUCUUUUUCGCUAAAAAUUCACUUAAAGUUUAAAGAACUAAUUUUGGAGUUCAACAACAUUUUUUUUUUUACAACCAACACAUAUUACAUUUACCCAGAAACUGAAUUAUAGUUUCAGAGCAGUUCCUUACGAGGAGCUCACGCUUUGGAAAAGUGUGUACAUCUCAUGUAGACAGAUACAUGUACACGCAGCAAGCUGGGGAAAUCCCUGUCCGUUUCCCAGACUGUUUACUAGCCUAAACAAAGCAGCAGGGGUCAAAGGUCACCAAGUCUAAAAAUAGAGCCUCCGGGGUCAGAGAAUUGAACUGUGCAGCAGCUGGAAAUCCUAAAAAACACACAAACCCCAGACUGGAGCGUGGAUGUAGGGUUUAUGACGUCACUCUGAGGUUUGUAAAACGAUGCAGAAAAAUCCAAAUUUGUGUACAGAAGGCGGCUGAGACUGUCAGUCAGGGAAACACACCACCAAACAUGUCUUAAUAUCUUCUUAAAGAGUUUCCAAAUAUCCACCAUAACUACUGUAAAAUAUUUGGCCCUUCUCGAUACAGAGUACGUCGUGUUCAAACUGAGAAUUCAAGCUUGGCGAGUCGAACUCGGGAGUCCAAACUCACGAGAACGAGAAGACGCAGUGCGAUCAGCUCGUAACUGCGACAGCAGCGGAAGUGGAUCUGUACGUAUAAAGGAGCCGAAAGUCCACAGAGGAAGCACAAUUAUACAACAUGAAAAGCCUCAACUUUACCUUGAAACAAGCUAUUGUAAUUUGGCAGCAACAAAUAAUUAUUACAAAUAAUUUACAAACAGGUAAAUUACCAAAAGGCUGCUGAGAUAAGACUAUGAUUCAGACCGAAAACAGUCCUGGGUUUAAACAACACAAGGAGCUGUGAGAAACCGAUCCACGAGUCUGACGGUUUAUCAGAAGAUACAGUGAGGUGUGGAAAACUAUGAGACAGGAUCUUAAUGCGCUGGAACGUUAUCACAGCGGCAAUCAUUCACACUGCAGAGUAAUCUACCAGGAAUACAGGAUCUGCCUGCUUUGUUUGAUUGGCAAGCGCAGCACCUUGACUUUCUGGUUGAGCCAGGUGAAGCUUUCUUUGCGGACCCCUCUGCACCGGCAGCCCACCUGCGUUGACGGACUGGCCUCAGUCAAAUUAAUGCGGCAGCUGCGUCAGUCUGAAUGCGGCUGUAACGGACAGAGCAGACCGGAGACACCAAGAUGAGACAGGAGGUUUUUAUUGUUCACGAUGCGAACUGACGGUGUAGGAAAGUUACUGAUACCGUCCUUUGGGGAGCUGAACCGGAGAUCUGGGACUGAAGGAAACACACACGGGAGGUUGGAGAAGACCGGGAUCUGGAGCUCGGAGGCCGGUUCGAUGAAGCGAGGUAGGAGUCUGUAACGUUGACUAGGGUGGAUGCCGAGAUCUGUCCUAUUUCCAACGAGACCGGACGCUGACUGAGGGGGGGGUGGUGUUUUAUAGAGGAGUGGAGUGCUGAUUAAGUGCAGGUGUGUGACAGGUGACAGGUGUCUUGGAUUAGUACUCAGGUGAAGGAGUGUGUUGUGUGUGUGAUGUGUUGUGGAGCCUGGCGUGUCUGUGACAGCGGCCUUGUCCCCGGGAUGACCAUGGACCAGCCGGUCUCGCGGGUCCUCACGUCUCCAAAAAAGUCAGGACGCAUUUUCAAGAGGCCGUUAUUUUUGACAAACCGACAACAUGUUCAAAAUCUAAAUAUCUAAUCUAAAUGAUUUGGUGACACAGUAACCAAAUAACGUUUUAGCCUGGGCUCAUGUCCUCCUCCGUCACCGCUGGUUGAAGUGAAAUGCAUGCUGGGAUGUUUGUCUACCCCAAGUUCACACAAGUCAGCUCCCAAUGCAACGGGCGGAGCCCACAGACUGAGAAAGGACAGUUGUAUUUGUAUUUGUGGAGAGAAGAGGGAUUUCCCACAGUCACCCACAUUCCUGUAUUCGUCCAGAAAAUAUGGGAUUUUUGUCAUUAUUGAUUCUUUUUAUUAUUUUCAUGUAAAUAAAUACAUUAUUAUCUCAGCAGACAAUAAAGGAGGCUGCUUUCUUCAGACACGACCGUCCUCGGGGCCCACCUUCAGCGUCUCGCUAUCGCCCUUCUUCUUCCUCUUUGUAUCACAUUUCUCUCCCGUUCUUCUCUUUGUUUCUCAGUCUCACUUUCUUUCUCUUUUUCAGUCCAUCUCUCGUUUCCUCUCCUGUCUUUCUUUCUCUGUUUUCUUGUUAUGCAACAGUGUGGCGGACGGCGAUUAGCAGACAGCGGCAGCUCUGUGUGUGUGUGUGUGUGUGUGUGUGUGUGUGUGUGUGUGUGUGUGUGUGUGUGUGUGCAUGCACCCUGGGGUGUUGGCAGUGUCUUGGGAAUGGGGUGAUCAGGACGUGGGAGCAGACAUAUGCACACACACAGACAUACUGUACACACAGUCCCAGACAAAGCUGAGAAAUGGGUCACUGUUGGCCAGAAGAGAUAUAAUUACACACACCCCUCUCUGCUAUUUACACACACACACACACACACAGUCUCACUCUCCUCCUCGUUCUUUUUGAAUUGCAGAAAAUACCUUCUGUAAGCACAUUCGUGUGCACUAUUGUCUUCGAGAAAUAGUUCAACACUUUGGGAAAUACGCUUGUUCGCUUUCUGGCGGAGAGUUACUGUAGAGGAGUCGACUGACACCAAGCAGCUGGUUAGCUUAGCUUAGCACAAAGACUGGAAACAGCUAGCCGGGCUCUGACCAAAGGUAAAAAAAUUCACCUGCCAGCAUCUCUAAAGCUCACCGAUUAACACAUUACAUGUUGUUUGGUUGAUCCGUACAAAAACCGCUGACGAUUUGCUGUUUCACUGGGGAACCAGCUGCUGGCUUUAGCCUUAUAUUAUGACUUUAUUAUUAUUAUUCCACCAAAAAAGAUGUUCAUCACGCACACCAUCACACCAGAAAGCAGUCUUUGUGCUCAUAAUUUGAGCCAUUAGGUCCAAUGAAAAUGUA
Siniperca chuatsi (mandarin fish) is the source of this 4369-nucleotide long non-coding RNA. RefSeq lists it as uncharacterized. NCBI's taxonomy places the organism in Eukaryota, Metazoa, Chordata, Actinopteri, Centrarchiformes, Sinipercidae. The record is from RefSeq and is a predicted model, not a curated record. The transcript is spliced from 3 exons.